CUUGAACAAAAAUAAGAGGUCCAGCCUGCCCAGUGACUAAUAUUCAACGGCCGCGGUAUCCUAACCGUGCGAAGGUAGCGUAAUCACUUGUUCUUUAAAUGAGGACUAGUAUGAACGGCACCACGAGGGUUAUACUGUCUCCUCUCUCUAAUCAGUGAAACUAAUCCCCCCGUGAAGAAGCGGGGAUAAAACUAUAAGACGAGAAGACCCUAUGGAGCUUUAAACUUAUCCUCAAACGCCAAAAAUCACACAAGUUUAAACUUCACCACAUGAACUCUCGCGCCGUGAGGACAAUUUUUAGGUUGGGGUGACCAUGGAGUAUAAAAUAACCUCCAUGCUGAAUAGGCCUCCAAGCCUCGAGCCAAGGGCUACGACCCAUCGCACUAAAACAUUAACAUCCAUUGAUCCAAUGUACUUUGAUCAACGAAC
This 429-nucleotide ribosomal RNA is filed under the name Scinax sp. gr. ruber ABGD cluster 70. Its description in RNAcentral is "partial large subunit ribosomal RNA". It matches the Rfam family "Bacterial large subunit ribosomal RNA", at positions 1834 to 2457 of the family's 2925-position model. Lineage: Eukaryota; Metazoa; Chordata; Amphibia; Anura; Hylidae. The record is from RNAcentral.